RNAcentral lists this ribosomal RNA (304 nucleotides) under uncultured bacterium. Its description in RNAcentral is "partial 16S ribosomal RNA". It matches the Rfam family "Bacterial small subunit ribosomal RNA", at positions 506 to 807 of the family's 1533-position model. The record is from RNAcentral.
CAGCAGCAGCCACGGGAAUACGUAGGUGGCAAGCGUUGUCCGGGAUUAUUGGGCGUAAAGGGCUCGCAGGCGGUUUCUUAAGUCUGAUGUGAAAGCCCCCGGCUCAACCGGGGAGGGUCAUUGGAAACUGGGAAACUUGAGUGCAGAAGAGGAGAGUGGAAUUCCACGUGUAGCGGUGAAAUGCGUAGAGAUGUGGAGGAACACCAGUGGCGAAGGCGACUCUCUGGUCUGUAACUGACGCUGAGGAGCGAAAGCGUGGGGAGCGAACAGGAUUAGAUACCCCCGUAGUCCCUGUCUCUUAUAC